CAGUAGCCACGGUAAUACGUAGGGUGCGAGCGUUAAUCGGAAUUACUGGGCGUAAAGCGUGCGUAGGCGGUUUGGCAAGUUUGGUGUGAAAUCUUCGGGCUCAACUCGAAGUCUGCAUCGAAAACUGCCGGGCUUGAGUAUGGGAGAGGUGAGUGGAAUUUCCGGUGUAGCGGUGAAAUGCGUAGAUAUCGGAAGAACACCAGUGGCGAAGGCGGCUCACUGGCUCAUACUGGACGCUGAGGCACGAAAGCGUGGGGAGCAAACAGGAUUAGAUACCCGCGUAGUCCCUGUCUCUUAUACA
Molecule: ribosomal RNA, 301 nt
Filed under: uncultured bacterium
Lineage: Bacteria
Description: partial 16S ribosomal RNA
Rfam family: Bacterial small subunit ribosomal RNA
Source: RNAcentral